This 233-nucleotide long non-coding RNA is filed under the name Elaeis guineensis (African oil palm). Its description in RNAcentral is "long non-coding RNA (EGUI_LNC072188)". Lineage: Eukaryota; Viridiplantae; Streptophyta; Magnoliopsida; Arecales; Arecaceae. The record is from RNAcentral.
AGCAUCCUUAAAUUUACAGCUGAACUCAUCGUUCAUAGCCACCCAUAUGAUAUAACGUACCAUGGUUCAAUCGUUAAGCCACUUCUAAUAAGUAUCUCAGACUGCAUCAUAAGUGUUCAGAGCGGGCUCUUCAAGUGUCAGAUCCAUAAGAACAUACAAGAUUUGCUUGUGCUCCAGGACUAUCUUUAGCUUUUGAUACCAAAUAUCAAAAUUGAAUCUCGUUAAUUUAUUAC